GACGAACGCUGGCGGCGUGCCUAAUACAUGCAAGUUGAGCGAUGAAGAUUGGUGCUUGCACCAAUUUGAAGAGCAGCGAACGGGUGAGUAACGCGUGGGGAAUCUGCCUUUGAGCGGGGGACAACAUUUGGAAACGAAUGCUAAUACCGCAUAACAACUUUAAACAUAAGUUUUAAGUUUGAAAGAUGCAAUUGCAUCACUCAAAGAUGAUCCCGCGUUGUAUUAGCUAGUUGGUGAGGUAAAGGCUCACCAAGGCGAUGAUACAUAGCCGACCUGAGAGGGGGAUCGGCCAAAUUGGGACUGAGAAACGGCACAAAAUCCUACGGGAGGCAGCAGUAGGGAAUCUGCGGCAAUGGACGAAAGUCUGACCGAGCAACGCCGCGGGAGUGAAGAAGGGUUUCGGAUCGUAAAACUCUGUUGGUAGAGAAGAACGUUGGUGAGAGUGGAAAGCUCAUCAAGUGACGGUAACUACCCAGAAAGGGACGGCUAACUACGUG
This 497-nucleotide ribosomal RNA is filed under the name uncultured bacterium. RNAcentral's name for it is "partial 16S ribosomal RNA". It matches the Rfam family "Bacterial small subunit ribosomal RNA", at positions 28 to 507 of the family's 1533-position model. The record is from RNAcentral.